Molecule: ribosomal RNA, 619 nt
Filed under: Marasmius nodulocystis
Lineage: Eukaryota; Fungi; Basidiomycota; Agaricomycetes; Agaricales; Marasmiaceae
Description: eukaryotic LSU rRNA
Rfam family: Eukaryotic large subunit ribosomal RNA
Source: RNAcentral
ACAGGAUUCCCUAGUAACUGCGAGUGAAGAGGGAAAAGCUCAAAUUUAAAAUCUGGCAGUCUUUGAUUGUCCGAGUUGUAAUUUAGAGAAGUGCUACCCGCGCUGGACCGUGUAUAAGUCUCCUGGAAUGGAGCGUCAUAGAGGGUGAGAAUCCCGUCUUUGACACGGACUACCAGGGCAUUGUGGUGCGCUCUCGAAGAGUCGAGUUGUUUGGGAAUGCAGCUCUAAAUGGGUGGUAAAUUCCAUCUAAAGCUAAAUAUUGGCGAGAGACCGAUAGCGAACAAGUACCGUGAGGGAAAGAUGAAAAGAACUUUGGAAAGAGAGUUAAACAGUACGUGAAAUUGCUGAAAGGGAAACGCUUGAAGUCAGUCGCGUUGGCCAGGGAUCAGCCUUGCUUCUGUGAGGUGUACUUCCUGGUUGACGGGUCAGCAUCAGUUUCGACCACUGGAAAAAGGCUUGGGGAAUGUGGCACCUCCGGGUGUGUUAUAGCCCCUUGUUGUAUACAGUGGUUGGGACUGAGGAACUCAGCACGCCGCAAGGCCGGGAUUCGUCCACCUUCGUGCUUAGGAUGCUGGCAUAAUGGUUGUAACCGACCCGCCCUGCACCACGGACCAAACAA